GCUUCAUUGAGUCUGAUGGAGGAGGAAAAAGAGGAAUGAGGGCCGCACAACCACUAAACAUAACCAAAUGAACAGAUGGUGGGUGUGGUGUGCUGAUGAGAUGUCAUUACUGAUCAUUACCCUCUUCACUAACCCUGGCAAUCAAACAAUAAACACCACUGUGCAUUCCUGUGUUUCCAGCACAGGAGGACACACACUCCCUCAUCUACCCAAGCUUCAAUCAACCCUCACCAGAGAGAUGGGGCGAAGCUUGAGGUCCCCAGGGUCUGACGGCACGCUUCUGGGACCACGAGGACAUGAGAUGGUGGAGAUAGUGUGUGUGUUUAUGUUUUUGAGCAUGCUACACAAGAUCAAUCACGCAUUCAGACCUGACGGGACGCCAUCUGUUGCUCUGCAGAGCAGGGACUGCUUGGCAGGGCCGUAUGAAGGAAAUGAAGCACUUACACUUUGAGUCUAGAGAUAUAUCCGGAUGAGUUGUACAGGUAACAUGACGGAAAAUCGGUGACACCAAAACUGGACACCAAACUCGUCUCUGUGUCCAAAACCCUGCG
This is a long non-coding RNA of Onychostoma macrolepis, 551 nucleotides long. RefSeq lists it as uncharacterized. The transcript has 3 exons. The record is from RefSeq and is a predicted model, not a curated record. NCBI's taxonomy places the organism in Eukaryota, Metazoa, Chordata, Actinopteri, Cypriniformes, Cyprinidae.